GCCAGACUCCUACGGGAGGCAGCAGUGGGGGAUAUUGCACAAUGGGGGGAACCCUGAUGCAGCGACGCCGCGUGGGUGAAGGAGUAUUUCGGUAUGUAAAGCCCUAUCGGCAGGGAAGAAGCAAGACGGUACCUGACUAAGAAGCCCCGGCUAACUACGUGCCAGCAGCCGCGGUAAUACGUAGGGGGCGAGCGUUAUCCGGAUUCACUGGGUGUAAAGGGAGCGUAGACGGCCAAGCAAGCCAGGGGUGAAAGCCCGGGGCCCAACCCCGGGACUGCCCUUGGAACUGCUUGGCUGGAGUGCGGGAGGGGCAGGCGGAAUUCCUGGUGUAGCGGUGAAAUGCGUAGAUAUCAGGAGGAACACCGGCGGCGAAGGCGGCCUGCUGGACCGCUACUGACGUUGAGGCUCGAAAGCGUGGGGAGCAAACAGGAUUAGAUACCCCAGUA
RNAcentral lists this ribosomal RNA (446 nucleotides) under uncultured bacterium. Its description in RNAcentral is "bacterial SSU rRNA". It matches the Rfam family "Bacterial small subunit ribosomal RNA", at positions 330 to 792 of the family's 1533-position model. The record is from RNAcentral.